Molecule: ribosomal RNA, 980 nt
Filed under: Leotiomycetes sp.
Lineage: Eukaryota; Fungi; Ascomycota; Leotiomycetes
Description: SSU rRNA
Rfam family: Eukaryotic small subunit ribosomal RNA
Source: RNAcentral
UGUCUAGUAUAAGCAAUCUAUACGGUGAAACUGCGAAUGGCUCAUUAAAUCAGUCAUAAUUUAUUUGAUAGUACCAUUCUACUUGGAUAACCGUGGUAAUUCUAGAGCUAAUACAUGCUAAAAACCCCGACUUCGGAAGGGGUGUAUUUAUUAGAUAAAAAACCAAUGCCCUUCGGGGCUCCUUGGUGAUUCAUGAUAACUUAACGAAUCGCAUGGCCUUGUGCCGGCGAUGGUUCAUUCAAAUUUCUGCCCUAUCAACUUUCGAUGGUAGGAUAGUGGCCUACCAUGGUUUCAACGGGUAACGGGGAAUUAGGGUUCUAUUCCGGAGAGGGAGCCUGAGAAACGGCUACCACAUCCAAGGAAGGCAGCAGGCGCGCAAAUUACCCAAUCCCGACACGGGGAGGUAGUGACAAUAAAUACUGAUGCAGAGCUCUUUUGGGUUUUGCAAUUGGAAUGAGUACAAUUUAAAUCCCUUAACGAGGAACAAUUGGAGGGCAAGUCUGGUGCCAGCAGCCGCGGUAAUUCCAGCUCCAAUAGCGUAUAUUAAAGUUGUUGCAGUUAAAAAGCUCGUAGUUGAACCUUGGGCCUGGCUGGCCGGUCCGCCUCACCGCGUGCACUGGUCCGGCCGGGCCUUUCCUUCUGGGGAGCCGCAUGCCCUUCACUGGGUGUGUCGGGGAACCAGGACUUUUACUUUGAAAAAAUUAGAGUGUUCAAAGCAGGCCUAUGCUCGAAUACAUUAGCAUGGAAUAAUAGAAUAGGACGUGUGGUUCUAUUUUGUUGGUUUCUAGGACCGCCGUAAUGAUUAAUAGGGAUAGUCGGGGGCAUCAGUAUUCAAUUGUCAGAGGUGAAAUUCUUGGAUUUAUUGAAGACUAACUACUGCGAAAGCAUUUGCCAAGGAUGUUUUCAUUAAUCAGUGAACGAAAGUUAGGGGAUCGAAGACGAUCAGAUACCGUCGUAGUCUUAACCAUAAACUAUGCCGA